This 468-nucleotide ribosomal RNA is filed under the name uncultured bacterium. RNAcentral describes it as "partial 16S ribosomal RNA". It matches the Rfam family "Bacterial small subunit ribosomal RNA", at positions 28 to 507 of the family's 1533-position model. The record is from RNAcentral.
GACGAACGCUGGCGGCGUGCUUAACACAUGCAAGUCGAACGGAAAGGCCCUGCUUUUGUGGGGUGCUCGAGUGGCGAACGGGUGAGUAACACGUGAGUAACCUGCCCUUGACUUUGGGAUAACUUCAGGAAACUGGGGCUAAUACCGGAUAGGAUCUCCUGCUGCAUGGUGGGGGUUGGAAAGUUUCGGCGGUUGGGUAUGGACUCGCGGCUUAUCAGCUUGUUGGUGGGGUAGUGGCUUACCAAGGCUUUGACGGGUAGCCGGCCUGAGAGGGUGACCGGCCACAUUGGGACUGAGAUACGGCCCAGAAUCCUACGGGAGGCAGCAGUGGGGAAUAUUGCACAAUGGGCGGAAGCCUGAUGCAGCAACGCCGCGUGCGGGAUGACGGCCUUCGGGUUGUAAACAGAUUUCGACUGUGACGAAGCGUGAGUGACGGUAAUGGGUAAAGAAGCACCGGCUAACUACGUG